UCUCCGUAGGUGAACCUGCGGAGGGAUCAUUACUGAGUGAGGGCUCCGGCCCGACCUCCAACCCCAUGUGAACCGAAACCUGUUGCUUCGGGGGCGACCCUGCCUUUCGGUGCGGCGCCCCCGGAGGCCUUCAAACACUGCAUCUUUGCGUCGGAGUUUAAGUAAAUUAAACAAAACUUUCAACAACGGAUCUCUUGGUUCUGGCAUCGAUGAAGAACGCAGC
RNAcentral lists this unclassified non-coding RNA (223 nucleotides) under uncultured fungus. RNAcentral's name for it is "sequence contains ITS1, 5.8S rRNA gene". The stretch from base 175 to 223 matches the Rfam family "5.8S ribosomal RNA", at positions 1 to 49 of the family's 154-position model. The record is from RNAcentral. Lineage: Eukaryota; Fungi.